Molecule: long non-coding RNA, 1777 nt
Filed under: Trifolium pratense (red clover)
Lineage: Eukaryota; Viridiplantae; Streptophyta; Magnoliopsida; Fabales; Fabaceae
Description: long non-coding RNA (TPRA_LNC002231)
Source: RNAcentral
UUAAGAACAACAACAUAGCAACACAUGUAUUUUCUUCUUGAUCAAACUAAUUUUUUCUUUGUUGAUUUACUAUUUGCAUGUUUUAUUAUCUUCAUAUAAUCUUCAAUCACUUUCAAUGUUUGCUUCAGAUGCAUCAUCUUCAUCUAAUCGCAAGCGGUAUCUUUAUAUUCAUUCUUUCAAUUUUUCUUUAUUGCUCUCAUAUAUCUUUCUAAUAUUCGACUCCAUUACUUAACAAACCAGUUUUUUUUCUUAUUUGCAGAAAAGUUUAAAGCUCACCAUAACAAGUGGAUCUGGAUAAAUAAGUGGUAAUAUUAUUUUUUUAUGCCUUUACUCAUUUGCCUCCAUUUAUUUUCAUUGAUAUAUCGUCAAAAAUUAUCUUCAAAAAUAAAAACAGAAGCAUAUAUAAAAAAAAACUUCAUAAACCCAAAAUAAAAAUUAACAAAGCCAAAUCAAUUGUAUAGUGUGAGAAACAGAGCUUUUUUUCAAAGUUGUAGAAGAUUACAAUCAAACACAACAAAUAAAUUUUAAAAUAUAUUCAAGUCCAAACAACAGAAAUAGUAAUUUUUUUUAGAUCUACUGUAUUAAUUUUUUUUUUUACGAAGAAAAGAAAAAUCAAAAUAAAGGGAAGUAUUGAUAACAUAAUCAUUUACAUUAAUUCAAACCAUCUUAUUAUUUCUAAAAAAAAAAAUAUAUAUUUUGGUUAUAGCUGUGACAAAACUAAUAAAAGAAAUAUAAUUUUUUUUUGUUUUUUGUUUUAGUUCAUCAAUUGUAGUAGAUCUAAAAAAUAAUAGUGAAAGUAGAGAAAUAAUGAAUUAGAAAACAAUAUCAAAUCUAAAAUAAAUGAAUUAUUUUUUCAACCUAAUCUUUUAGAUCUUAUUAUAAAAAAGGUACAAUCAAACAUAAUUACCCUUUAACACAUGAAAAUAAAGACAGAAGAGGAUUCUGUAAUUUUCGAUGUGAUGGUUUCCGGUGCGGUGCUCUCCAGAACUGUGGUAUCCGGCGAAUGUAUUUUGAUCUUAAUUUUUUGUGGGUUUUGUAGAUCAGAUGGAGGAGAAUGAUUUUAUUGCGAUGAUUUUUCAAAAAGCUCUUUUAACUGAAAAUAUUUUUGAUCGAUACAAAAAAAGAGGAUGAAAAAUAAAUUUGCACUAAAAAUACAAAAAUAAAUAAAUAAAUUACAGUUUGUGAAACAUGAAGGGUUGAAAUCGAAAGAUUAAAUUUUUAUAUUUGUUGUUGUUGCAUGUAGAUGGAAGUGGAGAAGAAGUUGAGCACUUUGGUGCCAAGAUCUUGAAAUAAAAAGGUCCAAAAAGAGCUUACAUGAUCACUGUUACAGAUAUGACCAUAAAUUUCAUGGAUGAGCUUGAAGAUGACCAAAAAUGAUAUAUUUUUCGGCGGAAGUCUGACAUCAACUUCACAAUUUUGAAAAACUAAACACAUGUAAAGAGGGGAAAAAAAAGAUGAGAGGAAGAUAUUGAUAGUAUUAGUGUGGCCAUUUGAGACACCAAAGAUAUGGCUAGGGUUUGGGUUGUGGAUGCAAAGUUAACAAAAAUUAUAGAAAGUGAAAAUUGAGAAGUUAGAGAAAGAGAAUUAAUUGAAAAGGAAAGAGACAAUGAAAUCAUACGGAUUUCAAUGUGAUAACUCAUGGACUUCAAACCAAAAUUGAAUUAAGUUAAUUUUAAUUUUUUAAUAAAUAUAUAUGGGUGGUGGUGGUGUGGGUUACGGAUUCCAUACCUAAAGAGUAGAAAAUCUUAAACAAAAUUUAUAAUUUCCUAUGCAUGUG